UGCGUAGGCGGCGGCACAAGUCAGGUGUGAAAUCCCCCGGCUCAACCGGGGAACAGCGCUUGAAACUAGGUCGCUCGAGUGAGGUAGGGGUGCAUGGAACUUCCGGUGGAGCGGUGAAAUGUGUAGAUAUCGGAAGGAACGCCGGCGGCGAAAGCGGUGCACUGGGCCUUGUCUGACGCUGAGGCACGAAAGCUAGGGAAGUGAACG
This 207-nucleotide ribosomal RNA is filed under the name uncultured bacterium. RNAcentral's name for it is "partial 16S ribosomal RNA". It matches the Rfam family "Bacterial small subunit ribosomal RNA", at positions 568 to 774 of the family's 1533-position model. The record is from RNAcentral.